Molecule: ribosomal RNA, 492 nt
Filed under: uncultured bacterium
Lineage: Bacteria
Description: partial 16S ribosomal RNA
Rfam family: Bacterial small subunit ribosomal RNA
Source: RNAcentral
GAUGAACGCUAGCUACAGGCUUAACACAUGCAAGUCGAGGGGCAGCGGUAUCGAAAGCUUGCUUUCGGUAGCCGGCGACCGGCGCACGGGUGAGUAACGCGUAUCGAACCUGCCUCAUACUCGGGAAUAGCCUUGCGAAAGUAAGAUUAAUGCCCGGUGUUUUCAGAGUCCCGCAUGAGGCUUUGAACAAAGAUUUAUCGGUAUGAGAUGGCGAUGCGUCCCAUUAGCUUGUUGGCGGGGUAACGGCCCACCAAGGCAUCGAUGGGUAGGGGUUCUGAGAGGAAGGUCCCCCACAUUGGAACUGAGACACGGUCCAAACUCCUACGGGAGGCAGCAGUGAGGAAUAUUGAUCAAUGGGCGGAAGCCUGAACCAGCCAAGUAGCGUGCAGGAAGACGGCCCUCCGGGUUGUAAACUGCUUUUAGUUGGGAAUAAAACGGGGCUCGUGAGCCCCCUUGCAUGUACCAUCAGAAAAAGGACCGGCUAAUUCCAUG